RNAcentral lists this ribosomal RNA (496 nucleotides) under uncultured bacterium. RNAcentral's name for it is "partial 16S ribosomal RNA". It matches the Rfam family "Bacterial small subunit ribosomal RNA", at positions 28 to 506 of the family's 1533-position model. The record is from RNAcentral.
GAUGAACGCUGGCGGCGUGCCUAAUACAUGCAAGUCGAGCGAACAGACGAGGAGCUUGCUCCUUUGACGUUAGCGGCGGACGGGUGAGUAACACGUAGGUAACCUACCUAUAAGACUGGGAUAACUUCGGGAAACCGGAGCUAAUACCGGAUAAUAUUUCGAACCGCAUGGUUCGAUAGUGAAAGAUGGCUUUGCUAUCACUUAUAGAUGGACCUGCGCCGUAUUAGCUAGUUGGUAAGGUAACGGCUUACCAAGGCAACGAUACGUAGCCGACCUGAGAGGGUGAUCGGCCACACGGGAACUGAGACACGGUCCAGACUCCUACGGAGGGCAGCGGUGGGAAAUCUUCCGCAUUGGGCGAAAGCCUGACGGAGCAACGCCGCGUGGGGAAUGAAGGUCUUCGGAUCGUAAAACUCUGUUAUUAGGAAAGAACAAACGUGUAAGUAACUGUGCACGUCUUGACGGUACCUAAUCAGAAAGCCACGGCUAACUACGU